UAGGGAAUCUUCGGCAAUGGGGGCAACCCUGACCGAGCAACGCCGCGUGAGUGAAGAAGGUUUUCGGAUCGUAAAGCUCUGUUGUAAGAGAAGAACGAGUGUGAGAGUGGAAAGUUCACACUGUGACGGUAACUUACCAGAAAGGGACGGCUAACUACGUGCCAGCAGCCGCGGUAAUACGUAGGUCCCGAGCGUUAUCCGGAUUUAUUGGGCGUAAAGCGAGCGCAGGCGGUUAGAUAAGUCUGAAGUUAAAGGCUGUGGCUUAACCAUAGUACGCUUUGGAAACUGUUUAACUUGAGUGCAGAAGGGGAGAGUGGAAUUCCAUGUGUAGCGGUGAAAUGCGUAGAUAUAUGGAGGAACACCGGUGGCGGAAGCGGCUCUCUGGUCUGUAACUGACGCUGAGGCUCGAAAGCGUGGGGAGCAAACAGGAUUAGAUACCCUGGUAGUCCACGCCGUAAACGAUGAGUGCUAGGUGUUGGGUCCUUUCCGGGACUCAGUGCCGCAGCUAACGCAUUAAGCACUCCGCCUGGGGAGUACGACCGCAAGGUUG
RNAcentral lists this ribosomal RNA (550 nucleotides) under uncultured bacterium. Its description in RNAcentral is "bacterial SSU rRNA". It matches the Rfam family "Bacterial small subunit ribosomal RNA", at positions 355 to 896 of the family's 1533-position model. The record is from RNAcentral.